Molecule: ribosomal RNA, 572 nt
Filed under: uncultured bacterium
Lineage: Bacteria
Description: bacterial SSU rRNA
Rfam family: Bacterial small subunit ribosomal RNA
Source: RNAcentral
GUCGAACGAGAAAACUGAUUAGUUUACUAAGAUGUUUUCUAGUGGCGGACGGGUUAGUAACACGUGAGCAACUUGCCUCGAAGCGGGGGAUAGCCUUCCGAAAGGGAGAUUAAUACCGCAUGUGGCCCCCUUUUAUUAGGGUGGUUAAAGGUGCCUUCGGGUAUCGCUUCGAGAUGGGCUCGCGGCCUAUCAGCUUGUUGGUGAGGUAAUGGCUCACCAAGGCUACGACGGGUAGCUGGUCUGAGAGGACGAUCAGCAACACUGGAACUGAGACACGGUCCAGACACCUACGGGUGGCAGCAGUCGAGAAUCAUUCACAAUGGGGGCAACCCUGAUGGUGCAACGCCGCGUGGAGGAUGAAGGCCCUAGGGUCGUAAACUCCUGUCAUAUGAGAGUAAGGCAUAUGUGUUAAUACCAUGUAUGUUUGAUAGUAUCAUAAGAGGAAGGGACGGCUAACUUCGUGCCAGCAGCCGCGGUAAUACGAAGGUCCCGAGCGUUAUUCGGAAUCACUGGGCGUAAAGAGUACGUAGGCGGUUUGGUAAGUCAGGUGUGAAAUCCCGGAGCUCAACUCC